CUGGAAAUAAAAUUACAUGAAAAUGAAAACACAAUGGUCCAAAACCUUUGGGAUGCAGCAAAUGAAGUUGUAAGAGGGAGGUUUAUAACAAUACAUGCCUA
This is a long non-coding RNA of Lynx canadensis (Canada lynx), 101 nucleotides long. RefSeq lists it as uncharacterized. The transcript is spliced from 3 exons. Lineage: Eukaryota; Metazoa; Chordata; Mammalia; Carnivora; Felidae. The record is from RefSeq and is a predicted model, not a curated record.